UACGUAGGGUGCGAGCGUUAAUCGGAAUUACUGGGCGUAAAGCGUGCGCAGGCGGUCUUGUAAGCCAGGUGUGAAAUCCCCGGGCUCAACCUGGGAACUGCAUUUGGGACUGCAAGGCUGGAGUACGGCAGAGGGAGGUGGAAUUCCACGUGUAGCAGUGAAAUGCGUAGAUAUGUGGAGGAACACCGAUGGCGAAGGCAGCCUCCUGGGCUGAUACUGACGCUCAUGCACGAAAGCGUGGGGAGCAAACAGG
Molecule: ribosomal RNA, 253 nt
Filed under: uncultured bacterium
Lineage: Bacteria
Description: partial 16S ribosomal RNA
Rfam family: Bacterial small subunit ribosomal RNA
Source: RNAcentral